CAGAAGGAUAUGGGUGCUACCAUAUCUAAAAGAAAAGGUGGAUAAGCAUCAGAGCUAGACUGCAAACCAGUUUUUGACUAAUAAAUUACAUCUAGUGGAGACCUUGUUUCCAGCACUAUCAUGGGAGCAUGCAGAUUCCAGUUUAGUCACUCAGAGUCAAACAACAGUUACUGGUGGAAGGUCCGAUGAGACAGAUGAUAAACACGAUGAUGGCAAAAGAGAGAGAAAAGCUCCAAGCUGUACAAUUGUAUCAAACAGUGAAUACACAGAAGUAUAGAGAAGCAACGCAUGCCAAAAAUAAUAUGCAACUAUCACACAGAAGGCUGCUAUAAUGAAGCAAGAACUGCAAUUAAAAAAGAGUCAUGCUAAAUUUAAAAAGACGGUGCAUAAUUUAUUUAAAAGAA
Molecule: long non-coding RNA, 404 nt
Organism: Protopterus annectens (West African lungfish)
Lineage: Eukaryota; Metazoa; Chordata; Ceratodontiformes; Protopteridae
Exons: 3
Source: RefSeq, a predicted model, not a curated record